AGAGACCCAGGGGCCCAGGGUGCCCAGAGCGCACGUGCGAGGCCUAGGUGGUUCAAUCUCGGCGAUGGUUUGUGGGCAGCGCGGUUCGCUUACAGUCUUCGGUGGGCGUCGGCUGAGUGUUUCCAGACGUCUGCAAAAGUUAGAUGUUCCCAGUGGAAAAGCAAUCUUUGCAUAUAACUGGGACUAGAGUAGCUUGGAAGGUCAGGAUGCCAAAGGACUCGUCCUGCAGAAAACUCCCAUAAACUCUACUUACCCCUCAGUUUAUUCCCCUUCCACAUCCCUCUGGGCCCCGGCCGGUCUCCAUGGGAUUCAGCAGAUGCAACAGCAGAAAGCUGUUUUCAUGGUUUCAGAGAUUGUGGCCAUGUGUGUCAAGUGCAGACUGAGGGGGAGAAACCAGUGCACAUUCUCCGGAUGAAAUGAAACGCGUUUCUGCAUGCCUCUGAACCCUCCCCUUUGACUUACCCUUACCUUUACAUCUUCUUUACUUUUAUUUUUUGCUAUUUUCCCCCAAUUAAAUCUGUAAUCAAUCCAAGAUUUAUUUUGGAGAAUGGUGUGAUAUUUAAGAGCUUUUUAACAAAAUGGCGAUUGUCCCAAACAGUCCAUCUUUUCUCACCUCGUUUAAAAUACCUCUUUAUCUUACAUUAAAUCCUCAGGUGUGUUUUUUCUCUUUUGGGUUUUCCAUUCUGUUCCAUUGAAUGGUCUACUUUUUCUUGCAUCCCUAAUCUAUCAUUUUAACUUCUUUUUAUGUCCCUCAUUAGCUCUUGAUAGUUUUUUUCCUUAUGUAAACCCUACACACUUCUUAUAGUUUGUACUGAUUAUUGUUUUGAUAUCUGUGUAUUCAUUUGACAACCAGAGUGAAGGAUUUUUUUAAGCUAUAAUUUUUUAACAGGAGAAAAAGUUGACAUUUUCUGGCAGAUACUUAGGGAAGGCACAAACUGGAUGGUAAAAAUUUCACCAGAAAGAUGUAAUACUAAAGAACAGUGUGAUGCAGGUGAAAAAAAUCAAAAUGCGCACAGAUGGGCUGUUUGUAUUGAAGGGAAGGCAAAAUAUGUUGACUCCACACUCCAUAGAAACUGGUAUAAACAGUAUUCCCCAGGGUGACUUAUAAGAAUGAUAAAGGAUGUAGUGACAUUUGGAGAGAAGACUCUGACAUUCCCUGAUGCAACCGGGAAUGAGGGUCAAAGCCAUUACCAGGCUGUGGGGAGGCAGGAACCGCACCAGGACUCCAGGCAGAUACAGAAGCCGCAGAGGUGCACUGUUCAGAUCUGUCAUCAAGAGAACCUAACGUGGAAGCACAGCUGAACUGUAGCCACCAGCUGCUCCAUUUUUUGUCCACCACAAGGCUCCCACUGAGGCCUUGUGUCUGCCGUGCUGUGUCGAGCCAAUGACUGAGCACAGAAGGGAUACCAAGGCCAAGUCAUUUCUGUCAGCAUAGGACUCCUCUACAGGCAACCUCUGGAUGGAGGCUCACCAUCACAACCCCAAGGGCCUACGCUGUGAUUUUCCUGCUGGGGCUUGCUCUGAGAGCCACGCUACAACUUUUCCCCACCACUGAUGCCACUAACCCCAUGGGGUCUACCAGACCCUGUGACCAAAGCAGGAGGGCUGCUUGAAGCACAGCCUGGACCGACUGCAGAACUUGUCUGCACUUCAGUCUUGCAUACUUUACUGUCACCAAGGUGUAAGGACCAAAGGAGUAUUCCUAAGUGUGGGACAGCGUUUCUCAACCUUGUUCUGUUGACAUAUUGGUCAGGUAAUUCUUUGUUGGGGGUCGGGAGCUGUCCUGUGUAUGGUAGGACAUUUAGCAGCAUUCCUCAUGUCUGCCACUAGAUGUUAGUAGUAGCAUCCUCAGUUGUGACAAUAAAAAUGUCUCCAGGCAUUGCAAAAUGUCCCCUGGGGAGCAAAAUUGCUCUUCCAUCCCCACGUGUUGAGAAUCGCUGAUGUUAAUAUGCUGCCUCCAGAACCCAGUGGCCAACAAAUCUGUUUCCUUCUUUGUGAAAAGGUAUCAGGAGGCAAUUUGUCUUUCACUUCUGAGGGAAUAUCCUGACAUGCCCUUGACCCUGGAUCCCUAAGAACAUCACGGAAGUGGCAAUUCAUGUCUUACCAAGGCCUCCAGGACUACAGCCACUUACUGCUCAUCCUGUCAAAUCAGCAUGAUAUCAUCAAUAAAACAGACCAGUGUGAUGCUCUGGGGA
Non-coding RNA from Equus caballus (horse), 2195 nucleotides. The record is from RefSeq and is a predicted model, not a curated record. NCBI's taxonomy places the organism in Eukaryota, Metazoa, Chordata, Mammalia, Perissodactyla, Equidae.